UUUGUAGAAGGUGCUUCGGGCGCGGCCCCGGUCCAAGUCCCUUGGAACAGGGCGUCCCAGAGGGUGAGAAUCCCGUAGCGGCCGAUGGCCAAGCCCGUGUGAAGCCCUUUCGACGAGUCGAGUUGUUUGGGAAUGCAGCUCCAAUUGGGUGGUGAAUUUCAUCUAAAGCUAAAUACCUGCCGGAGACCGAUAGCGCACAAGUAGAGUGAUCGAAAGAUGAAAAGCACUUUGAAAAGAGAGUCAAACAGUACUUGAAAUUGUUGAAAGGGAAGCGCUUGCAACCAGACUCGCUCGCGGGUGCUCAGCCGUCCCCCGGGGCGGUGCAUUCUCCCGCGCUGCGGGCCAGCAUCGGCUCCAGCGGCUGGAUAAAGGCUUCGGGAACGUGGCUCUCUUCGGGGAGUGUUACAGCCCGGGGCGCAAUGCAGUCAGCCGGGGCCGAGGACCGCGCAUUUGCUAGGAUGCUGGCGUAAUGGUUGCCAGCGACCCGUCUUGAAACACGGACCAAGGAGUCGACCAACCGCGCGAGUGUUUGGGUAUCAACCCCGGGCGCGAAAUGAAAGUGAACGCAGGUGGGAGCCCCCGGGCGCACCAUCGACCGAUCUUGAAGUUUACGGAUGGAUUUGAGUAUGAGCACGGCUGGUCGGACCCGAAAGAUGGUGAACUAUGCGCGAAUAGGGUGAAGCCAGGAGAAAUUCUGGUGGAGGCUCGCAGCGGUUCUGACGUGCAAAUCGAUCGUCAAAUUUGCGUAUAGGGGCGAAAGACCAAUCGAACUAUCUAGUAGCUGGUUCCCGUCGAAGUUUCCCUCAGGAUAGCAGCAACGUAAUCAAUCUCAUGAGGUAGAGCAAACGAUUAGAGGCUCAGGGGCUAAUUUUGGCCUUUACCUAUUCUCGAACUUCGAAUAUGUGAGAAGUCCUUGUUGCUUAGUGAA
Molecule: ribosomal RNA, 928 nt
Filed under: Ocellularia landronii
Lineage: Eukaryota; Fungi; Ascomycota; Lecanoromycetes; Ostropales; Graphidaceae
Description: eukaryotic LSU rRNA
Rfam family: Eukaryotic large subunit ribosomal RNA
Source: RNAcentral